Molecule: transfer RNA, 71 nt
Filed under: Sathon sp.
Lineage: Eukaryota; Metazoa; Arthropoda; Insecta; Hymenoptera; Braconidae
Description: tRNA-Lys
Source: RNAcentral
UAUUAGAUAUCUUAAAAUAAGAAUUGAUUUUUUAAUUCAAAUUAUAAUAAUUUAAUGUUUAUUUCUAGUAA